RNAcentral lists this long non-coding RNA (1084 nucleotides) under Salmo salar (Atlantic salmon). Its description in RNAcentral is "lncRNA (ENSSSAG00000115718.1)". Lineage: Eukaryota; Metazoa; Chordata; Actinopteri; Salmoniformes; Salmonidae. The record is from RNAcentral.
CUCUCCCCUGACAGUCUACUACUAACCUCAGACCACUCUCCCCUGACAGUCUACUACUAACCCCAGACCACUCUCCCCGACAGUCUGAUGCCUAACCAGAAACCCAGAAGACAGAGACAUGACCUGUGACCUUCUCCAGGGCACACGCUACAAUCAUGACCUAUGACCUUCUCCAGGGCAGACAUUAUGAUGGCCCUACCUAAGAGCAUUAUCAAUCUCAUUCACUAAGGUUUCCAGUGCCAUAACGAGUGUCUAAUUCAAAGAAGUGGUGGAAACACGAAAUGCUAUGCCUGUCAAAUGAUUGGCACCCUUUAUAAAGAUGAGCAAAAAAGACUGUAUCAGAACACUGCAAACUGGCUCUAACCAGAACGGAAAGAGGAUUGGGAGGCUCGGUGCACAACUGAGCAAGAGGACAAGUACAUUAGAGUGUCUAGUUUGAGAAACAGACACCUCACAAGUCCUCAACUGGCAGCUUCAUUAAAUAGUACCCAUAAAACACCAUUCUCAACGUCAACAGUGAAGAGGCGACUCCGGGAUGCUGGCCUUCUAGGCAGAGUUGCAAAGAAAAAGCCAUAUCUCAGACUGGCCAAGAAUACUAAAAGAUUAAGAUGGGCAAAAGAACAUAGAUACUGGACAGAUGAACUCUGCCUAGAAGGAACUAUUUCAGAUUUAAGUAUAACUGAUGCCUUUAGUGAGAGGUCUAAUGCUUUCAUUUGUAUUUUUUCCUUCAUUUAACUAGGCAAGUCAGUUAAGAACAAAUUCUUGACGGCCUAGGAACAGUGGGUCAACUGCCUUGUUCAGGGGCAGAACGACAGAUUUUUACCUUGUCAGAUCGGGGAUUCGAUUUUGCAACCUUUCGGUUGCUAGUCCAACACUAACCACUAGGCUACCUGACGCCUCAAUUGGAAUUUGUUCUUAACUGACUUGCAUAGUAAAAUAAAUGUAAAAAAAAUAUAUAAAUAGGCUCUUUUAAUUUUGUCUGGCUUGCCAUUCCAAAUAAAAUGUAAUAUUUUUUGUUUAAAUAAGUUAAAAAGCAGGUCACUAGGUGUAGGCAAAAUCAUAAGCAAAUAGGUCAACUGUGAUA